RNAcentral lists this long non-coding RNA (1591 nucleotides) under Linum usitatissimum (flax). RNAcentral's name for it is "long non-coding RNA (LUSI_LNC008198)". The record is from RNAcentral. Lineage: Eukaryota; Viridiplantae; Streptophyta; Magnoliopsida; Malpighiales; Linaceae.
UUUUCUCUCUUUCUUGCUCAAAUGCUUAAUUAGUCGUCACUUAAGCUGAGGACUGUCAACAAAACGUCGUCAGUAUGCCGCGGACUUAAAAUGCAAAUGACAAAAAAUUGAACUAUCGGCUAAGGACUUGAAGUGAGUCAGGCUGCUUCCAACUUUCUACGCAAAAUACAAAAUGGCCAAAUCGAAGAUUAGUUUAAACCAUAUAUUUCUCUUUCGUUUCUAAUAAAUCUAACUUAUUGUCAAUUAAACUAAUAUUUCUUAACAUAAUUUAUUUUCUAUUGAUUUGUGAUAAUUUAAUACAAAUAUCUCAAUAAUAUUUUGGUCAAUUUUGAUAAAAGCAACAGGAUAACGAAAUUGGUAAAAAAUGAAUGAAUAUAAAAUCAAACAACAAUAAGCUAAAAAUAUAUAUGAGAAAGUAAACACAUUUCAAAGUAAAAUAAGAUUCUCGGAAUUCCGCUCAUCACUUUCCUCCUGCUUUUUUAAGGUAGCUGCUAUUUUUUGUUUGAAGGAAAAUAACUGCUUAAAUUUUAUUAAUGAAUCAAUGAGCACAUAUAUGACAAAGCAUCACUAAGCAAUUCCGGAGGGACGUAUGAGCCUCUAACAAGUACACGAGCAACUCCGUCGAACAUGGCUGACUACAAAGCGAGGGUUGCGGGGGAGGACCGCACGGCAUUUCAAGAUCAUCACUCAAACUCGGUGAAAUCGCUUUGUCCCGAACAAAUAAUAGUGACGACUGCCAAUACAUCAGACUCGAAGACAAUAUUUGUCCAACUUUUUUAAUUCGAACUUAUUAUUUCUUAAUUGUGGGCUCUCUAUUUUUUAUCAUUUCAUUUAACAGCGACUAUAUUUACUCACAUGUGGAUUCUUUAUUUGCCAUAAAAUUUCCAAAUUUAACAUGAUGGAUUUUAUUUGACGAGAUAAGUUGGAAGUAAUUUAUGGCUAACCUUUCGCAAAUUUAGAGAAAGUUGAGUUGUCAAUUUGCUAAUGCUCACAUAUCAUGUGCCUAGUGAGUGACCUUUGGGUUUGGGGCAAUUCGGCAAUUCAUCAUGAAUCCACUGUAAUGGCAGAAUUGUGAAUCUUGACUUUAGCAAGGGUACUUAGAACAAGAAUUAGCUAGCUUCUAAACCGCCAUUUUUCCCUCUCUCUAGCCUCAUUCCCUUUGCUUCUUUCUUCCACUGCGAAAAGGGGGGAAAGGCUUCAAAGAAGCUUUAGUGAGCGAGAGAGGAGGGAGAAACGGGGGAGACAAUACUAGUGCCAAUCAGAAAAAUACACACCGGCACGUUAUAGGUGCCGGUGGCAGGUCGUCUGAGAAUAGAAAAGAAAAGGCGCAAACCGGAUGCCAAUCAAUGAAGCCGAGACGCAAAGGGCCGCCAACAGGUCACGGCGCGAUUCAAGGCAGCCGGCAGUGGCGAUGGCGAAGCGAGUCCCGUUACGGCUGUUGCUGCAAGUAACGUCGAUCGCUGGCGGGAUUCAAUUCGGAUGGGCUCUUCAGCUCUCUCUCUUAACUCCCUACGUGCAGGAGCUGGGAAUCCCGCACGCUUGGGCCAGUGUGAUUUGGCUGUGCGGGCCACUGUCUGGUUUGAUAGUUNNN